RNAcentral lists this ribosomal RNA (684 nucleotides) under uncultured euryarchaeote. RNAcentral describes it as "bacterial SSU rRNA". It matches the Rfam family "Archaeal small subunit ribosomal RNA", at positions 76 to 758 of the family's 1478-position model. Lineage: Archaea; Methanobacteriati; Methanobacteriota. The record is from RNAcentral.
CCGUAGCGAACAGCUCAGUAACACGUGGCCAAGCUACCCUAUGGACGUGGACACCCUCGGGAAACUGAGGCUAAUCCGCGAUACGGCUCCCACGCUUGAAUGCGGGGAGCCGGAAACGCUCCGGCGCCAUAGGAUGCGGCUGCGGCCGAUUAGGUAGACGGUGGGGUAACGGCCCACCGUGCCGAUAAUCGGUACGGGAUGUGAGAGCAAAUAGCCCGGAGAUGGAAUCUGAGACAAGAUUCCAGGCCCUACGGGGCGCAGCAGGCGCGAAACCUUUACACUGCACGCCAGUGCGAUAAGGGGACCCCGAGUGCGAGGGCAUACAGUCCUCGCUUUUGUACACCGUAAGGAGGUGUACGAAUAAGGGCUGGGCAAGACCGGUGCCAGCCGCCGCGGUAAUACCGGCAGCCCGAGUGAUGGCCGCUGUUAUUGGGCCUAAAGCGUCCGUAGCCGGCCGAACAAGUCUGUCGGGAAAUCCAUCCGCCUAACGGAUGGGCGUCCGGCAGAAACUGUUCGGCUUGGGGCCGGAAGAUCCGAGGGGUACGUCCGGGGUAGGAGUGAAAUCCUGUAAUCCUGGACGGACCGCCGGUGGCGAAAGCGCCUCGGAAGGACGGACCCGACGGUGAGGGACGAAAGCUGGGGUCUCGAACCGGAUUAGAUACCCGGGUAGUCCCAGCCGUAAAC